GGUAAAAUGGCUGAGUGGAAGCAUUAGACUGUAAAUCUAAAGACGGGGCGGGGAGCCCCUUUUGCCA
This is a non-coding RNA of Heterocephalus glaber (naked mole-rat), 67 nucleotides long. The record is from Ensembl. NCBI's taxonomy places the organism in Eukaryota, Metazoa, Chordata, Mammalia, Rodentia, Bathyergidae.